RNAcentral lists this ribosomal RNA (798 nucleotides) under uncultured Bacillota bacterium. RNAcentral describes it as "bacterial SSU rRNA". It matches the Rfam family "Bacterial small subunit ribosomal RNA", at positions 71 to 902 of the family's 1533-position model. The record is from RNAcentral. Lineage: Bacteria; Bacillati; Bacillota.
AAAGUGGAGCAAUCCAUGAGUACAGUGGCGUACGGGUGAGUAACACGUGGGUAAUCUACCUCUUAGUGUGGAAUAACUCUGGGAAACUAGAGCUAAUACCGCAUAAGCUCGAGAGAGGAAAGCAGCAAUGCGCUGAGAGAGGAGCCCGCGGCCGAUUAGCUAGUUGGCAGGGUAAAAGCCUACCAAGGCAUAGAUCGGUAGCCGGCCUGAGAGGGCACACGGCCACACUGGCACUGAAACACGGGCCAGACUCCUACGGGAGGCAGCAGUGGGGAAUCUUGCACAAUGGGGGAAACCCUGAUGCAGCGACGCCGCGUGAGCGAUGAAGCCCUUCGGGGUGUAAAGCUCUUUCGGCAGGGAAGAUAGUGACGGUACCUGCAGAAGCAGCUGCGGCUAACUACGUGCCAGCAGCCGCGGUAAUACGUAGGCAGCGAGCGUUGUUCGGAGUUACUGGGCGUAAAGGGUGUGUAGGCGGUUGUUUAAGUUUGGUGUGAAAUCUCCCGGCUCAACUGGGAGGGUGCGCCGAAUACUGAAUGACUAGAGUACGGGAGAGGAAAGUGGAAUUCCUGGUGUAGCGGUGAAAUGCGUAGAUAUCAGGAGGAACACCGGUGGUGUAGACGGCUUUCUGGACCGUAACUGACGCUGAGACACGAAAGCGUGGGUAGCAAACAGGAUUAGAUACCCUGGUAGUCCACGCCCUAAACGAUGCAUAUUUGGUGUGGGCAGUUCAUUCUGUCCGUGCCGGAGCUAACGCGUUAAAUAUGCCGCCUGGGGAGUACAGUCGCAAGGCUGAAACUC